RNAcentral lists this ribosomal RNA (745 nucleotides) under Escherichia coli. RNAcentral's name for it is "partial 23S ribosomal RNA". It matches the Rfam family "Bacterial large subunit ribosomal RNA", at positions 2177 to 2916 of the family's 2925-position model. Lineage: Bacteria; Pseudomonadati; Pseudomonadota; Gammaproteobacteria; Enterobacterales; Enterobacteriaceae. The record is from RNAcentral.
UGCAUGGAGCCGACCUUGAAAUACCACCCUUUAAUGUUUGAUGUUCUAACGUUGACCCGUAAUCCGGGUUGCGGACAGUGUCUGGUGGGUAGUUUGACUGGGGCGGUCUCCUCCUAAAGAGUAACGGAGGAGCACGAAGGUUGGCUAAUCCUGGUCGGACAUCAGGAGGUUAGUGCAAUGGCAUAAGCCAGCUUGACUGCGAGCGUGACGGCGCGAGCAGGUGCGAAAGCAGGUCAUAGUGAUCCGGUGGUUCUGAAUGGAAGGGCCAUCGCUCAACGGAUAAAAGGUACUCCGGGGAUAACAGGCUGAUACCGCCCAAGAGUUCAUAUCGACGGCGGUGUUUGGCACCUCGAUGUCGGCUCAUCACAUCCUGGGGCUGAAGUAGGUCCCAAGGGUAUGGCUGUUCGCCAUUUAAAGUGGUACGCGAGCUGGGUUUAGAACGUCGUGAGACAGUUCGGUCCCUAUCUGCCGUGGGCGCUGGAGAACUGAGGGGGGCUGCUCCUAGUACGAGAGGACCGGAGUGGACGCAUCACUGGUGUUCGGGUUGUCAUGCCAAUGGCACUGCCCGGUAGCUAAAUGCGGAAGAGAUAAGUGCUGAAAGCAUCUAAGCACGAAACUUGCCCCGAGAUGAGUUCUCCCUGACCCUUUAAGGGUCCUGAAGGAACGUUGAAGACGACGACGUUGAUAGGCCGGGUGUGUAAGCGCAGCGAUGCGUUGAGCUAACCGGUACUAAUGAACCGUGAGG